Molecule: ribosomal RNA, 468 nt
Filed under: uncultured bacterium
Lineage: Bacteria
Description: partial 16S ribosomal RNA
Rfam family: Bacterial small subunit ribosomal RNA
Source: RNAcentral
GACGAACGCUGGCGGCGUGCUUAACACAUGCAAGUCGAACGGAAAGGCCCUGCUUUUGUGGUGUGCUCGAGUGGCGAACGGGUGAGUAACACGUGAGUAACCUGCCCUUGACUUUGGGAUAACUUCAGGAAACUGGGGCUAAUACCGGAUAGGAGCUCCUGCUGCAUGGUGGGGGUUGGAAAGUUUCGGCGGUUGGGGAUGGACUGGCGGCUUAUCAGCUUGUUGGUGGGGUAGUGGCUUACCAAGGCUUUGACGGGUAGCCGGCCUGAGAGGGUGACCGGCGACAUUGGGACUGAGAUACGGCCCAGACUCCUACGGGAGGCAGCAGUGGGGAAUAUUGCACAAUGGGCGGAAGCCUGAUGCAGCAACGCCGCGUGCGGGAUGACGGCCUUCGGGUUGUAAACCGCUUUCGCCUGUGACGAAGCGGGAGUGACGGUAAUGGGUAAAGAAGCACCGGCUAACUACGUG